Molecule: non-coding RNA, 167 nt
Organism: Pelobates cultripes (western spadefoot toad)
Lineage: Eukaryota; Metazoa; Chordata; Amphibia; Anura; Pelobatidae
Source: the annotation of a GenBank genome assembly
GGUCAGCUGACACAUCCCUGCCAAUCUCCAGCAGACCCUCCCUCCCAGACCCUCCCACCUCCUGGACAGCAUCCAUGUUGAAGCUGCCUUCAACAUGGAUGCUGUCCAGGAAGUAGGAGGGCCUGGGAGGGAGGGUCUGCCGGAGAUUGGCAGGGAUGUGUCAGCUG